Molecule: ribosomal RNA, 542 nt
Filed under: uncultured bacterium
Lineage: Bacteria
Description: bacterial SSU rRNA
Rfam family: Bacterial small subunit ribosomal RNA
Source: RNAcentral
AUAGAUACCCCGGUAGUCCACGCCGUAAACGAUGAGUGCUAAGUGUUAGGGGGUUUCCGCCCCUUAGUGCUGCAGCUAACGCAUUAAGCACUCCGCCUGGGGAGUACGGUCGCAAGACUGAAACUCAAAGGAAUUGACGGGGGCCCGCACAAGCGGUGGAGCAUGUGGUUUAAUUCGAAGCAACGCGAAGAACCUUACCAGGUCUUGACAUCCCGUUGACCACUGUAGAGAUAUGGUUUUCCCUUCGGGGACAACGGUGACAGGUGGUGCAUGGUUGUCGUCAGCUCGUGUCGUGAGAUGUUGGGUUAAGUCCCGCAACGAGCGCAACCCUUGAUCUUAGUUGCCAUCAUUUAGUUGGGCACUCUAAGGUGACUGCCGGUGACAAACCGGAGGAAGGUGGGGAUGACGUCAAAUCAUCAUGCCCCUUAUGACCUGGGCUACACACGUGCUACAAUGGACGAUACAAACGGUUGCCAACUCGCGAGAGGGAGCUAAUCCGAUAAAGUCGUUCUCAGUUCGGAUUGUAGGCUGCAACUCGCCUA